GGAGUUGGAGUAAGAAGAAAGACCAUCAGAGUGACAUAUACAUAUAUAUGACAGAAGAAUAAUCGACCUGGAAGCCAAAACAUCACCCUGAUCUACCAAGAAAGCUGACACUGGAAGAGAGGCUGACACGAGAAGACUUCCUAAUCCUGAAUUCUAGAAUGAGAACCUGAAUCUGAGAAGCCAAGGAAAAGAGGAAGCCUCUUGGAAAAGAGGCUAAGCUAAGAAGGUAGAAAGGAGAAGAAAAGGGCAGCAGGCUAGACCGCUGGUGAGAGAGAAGCUCCGUGGCUUGUCUGGUCUGAACUGAACCAUGAGCUGCACCGGAAGUGCUGUUAACCAGGAAGAUGGUGAGGUCGGCCCUGAAGACAGGGUGCAAGAGGUACUUCCUCAGCAAGAGUAAGGCGAAUCUCUCGAGUCCAGACACAGGUCACAUAAAAAUGGGAUGCUUCCUGGCCCUCCGGCUCAGUGGGUGGAGCUGUCAUAUGACCAGGCUCCCUUGGAUUCCUCUGCGAUCAGGGCAGAACCAUAGGAGAGAACAGCUGCAGAGGGAUGGGAGCUUGUUGCCUGGCUCCAGGCUCUUCUGCCAGCGCUCCCUGUCCACAGUUUGUAGCCGAAUGGCUGGAGACCCAGCCUGGUCAUCAGAUCUGGCGUCUUGUCUCACUGCUGUACCUUACUGGUUAAGAUAACUCUCUAAACGUCUGUAAGUUCAGUUUCCCCGUGAAUAAAAACGAGCAUCC
RNAcentral lists this long non-coding RNA (734 nucleotides) under Mus caroli (Ryukyu mouse). Its description in RNAcentral is "lncRNA (MGP_CAROLIEiJ_G0006065.1)". The record is from RNAcentral. Lineage: Eukaryota; Metazoa; Chordata; Mammalia; Rodentia; Muridae.